AGAACCCCGAAUAACCCAAACUGCUAAUCUUCGAUACCGCUUUAUACUCACGAUCUUGUAUCCACUGACUGUCUUGUUAGAUUAAUCCAAUAAAUUUCAUUCACUCUGCAUACUCAAUCCUAUAGACACCCUUUUAACUCUUCAUCACAGACGUAACUCGAUUUCACAAAACAGUCAAGAGUAAUCAAACCCACUUCAUUAAAAAUCCCGAUUCACCAUUACAACACUGACUUCAGCAACGAUUGCCUCAGUCUUCCCAAAACCCUAUGAAGAAAAAAAAAUCC
RNAcentral lists this long non-coding RNA (284 nucleotides) under Physcomitrium patens. RNAcentral's name for it is "long non-coding RNA (PPAT_LNC011596)". The record is from RNAcentral. Lineage: Eukaryota; Viridiplantae; Streptophyta; Bryopsida; Funariales; Funariaceae.